UUUCCGUAGGUGAACCUGCGGAAGGAUCAUUGUCACACAUCCUAAUGGAUGCUUGUGCCAACAAGCAGACCCAGCGAACCAUUCUCCUAUCACUUGAGGGGCUGCAUCGCGAGGUGCAGCUGUCGGCGGUCGGGCCCUUGCUUCAGGGGCCGGAGUCCUUGCUGGGUUCACCGUUGCGGGUGAGCACCGGCCGUCCGACGGGGGCCGCUCUUGGGCCUCGCACACGGGAGAGUGCGGGGGCGGCGUUUCCCACUCCAGCUGUCCCAUCCGGGGCAGCUGCGCAACCAACCAAAACACUAUGCAAAAACCGACUGAAGACCGAUCCCUUGCGGGGCGCCUUCGGGAGCCCUGCCUCGGAUCAAAAACAAACUAAAGACAACUCUCAACAACGGAUAUCUUGGCUCUC
Molecule: unclassified non-coding RNA, 406 nt
Filed under: plant metagenome
Description: partial contains small subunit ribosomal RNA, internal transcribed spacer 1, and 5.8S ribosomal RNA
Source: RNAcentral